UGGGGAAUAUUGGGCAAUGGGCGCAAGCCUGACCCAGCAACGCCGCGUGAAGGAAGAAGGUCUUCGGAUUGUAAACUUUUGUCUUAUGGGACGAUAAUGACGGUACCAUAGGAGGAAGCCACGACUAACUACGUGCCAGCAGUCGCGGUAAUACGUAGGUGGCAAGCGUUAUCCGGAAUUAUUGGGUGUAAAGGGUGCGUAGGCGGGAUGUAAAGUCAGAUGUGAAAUACCGCAGCUUAACUGCGGAGCUGCAUUUGAAACUUACGUUCUUGAGUGAAGUAGAGGUAAGCGGAAUUCCUAGUGUAGCGGUGAAAUGCGUAGAUAUUAGGAGGAACACCGGUGGCGAAGGCGGCUUACUGGGCUUAAACUGACGCUGAGGCACGAAAGUGUGGGGAGCAAACAGG
This 404-nucleotide ribosomal RNA is filed under the name uncultured bacterium. Its description in RNAcentral is "bacterial SSU rRNA". It matches the Rfam family "Bacterial small subunit ribosomal RNA", at positions 355 to 776 of the family's 1533-position model. The record is from RNAcentral.